UUGAAAGGGAAACGAUUGAAGUCAGUCGUACCAGCGGGAAAUCAACCUUUCGAGUGGUGUUUUGGAGUUUUGAAGUGUGUCAAAACCUUUGAGAUUUUAAAAUUUUCGCUCUUUUGGUGUACUUUCUCGUGGGUAGGUUAACAUCGAUUUUGAUCAUCAUAAAAAGAUUGGAGGAAUGUAGCUUCGAUCUUGUAUUGAAGUGUUAUAGCCUUUGGUAAAUGUGAUGAUUAGGAUCGAGGAUUGCAACGAAUACCCUUCUGGGCUACCCGCCUGAUCUCUGAUACGUGGCCUUGGUAUCGAAAGCGUGCUUAUGGUAUUGAGGUAUUACGGUCAAAAGGUUAGAACGGAUUACAUUCGUUAAGGAUGUUGACGUA
Molecule: ribosomal RNA, 374 nt
Filed under: uncultured Glomeromycotina
Lineage: Eukaryota; Fungi; Glomeromycota
Description: LSU rRNA
Source: RNAcentral